This 345-nucleotide unclassified non-coding RNA is filed under the name soil metagenome. RNAcentral's name for it is "partial contains 5.8S ribosomal RNA, internal transcribed spacer 2, and large subunit ribosomal RNA". The stretch from base 1 to 120 matches the Rfam family "5.8S ribosomal RNA", at positions 35 to 154 of the family's 154-position model. The record is from RNAcentral.
GAUGAAGAACGUAGCGAAAUGCGAUACGUAAUGUGAAUUGCAGAAUUCAGUGAAUCAUCGAGUCUUUGAACGCACAUUGCGCCCUCUGGUAUUCCGGAGGGCAUGCCUGUCCGAGCGUCAUUGCUGCCCUCAAGCACGGCUUGUGUGUUGGGCUCCGUCCCCCGAUCCCGGGGGACGGGCCCGAAAGGCAGCGGCGGCACCGCGUCCGGUCCUCGAGCGUAUGGGGCUUUGUCACCCGCUCUGUAGGCCCGGCCGGCGCUUGCCGAUCAACCAAAUUUUUAUCCAGGUUGACCUCGGAUCAGGUAGGGAUAGCCGCUGAACUUAAGCAUAUCAAUAAGCGGAGGA